The sequence is a non-coding RNA, 225 nucleotides long. It matches the Rfam family "T-box leader". From Rfam's summary of the family: Uncharged tRNA acts as the effector for transcription antitermination of genes in the T-box leader family.
CACAACACGUUGAGAAGGAAAGUAGCAUUUGAUUUUAUCUACAGAGAGCCGUUGGUUGGUGGAAAACGGUGGUAAAGGAAAUGUGAAACUCACCUUUGAGUACGACUCUGAACAAUAAGUAGGAGUUGUCGGAUGGUUGAACCACCAUUCGUUAACAAAAAAAUGAGGCUAAUUCUAAUAUUAGUGAAUAAGGGUGGUACCGCGAGAGACUUUCUCGCCCCUUGU